Marasmius tenuissimus is the source of this 88-nucleotide non-coding RNA. Lineage: Eukaryota; Fungi; Basidiomycota; Agaricomycetes; Agaricales; Marasmiaceae. The record is from the annotation of a GenBank genome assembly.
GCAUUAAUGGGGUAGUGGUAACCUGGGUCGUUGCCAUGUCGUAGUGCCAAGACUCGACCCGCCGGGGGUUCGAUUCCCUCUUAAUGCA